This 296-nucleotide long non-coding RNA is filed under the name Vombatus ursinus (common wombat). RNAcentral's name for it is "lncRNA (ENSVURG00010003589.1)". Lineage: Eukaryota; Metazoa; Chordata; Mammalia; Diprotodontia; Vombatidae. The record is from RNAcentral.
UGGAAGAGACCUCAGAAUUGUUGAAAGAUCAAAUACCAAGGCAGUGGCAAAUGAAGGCUCACUUUCUGUAUUCUUCUAUUACAUCUUCCAAUAAUGUUUGGAUCCCUCCAAGCAAGGAGUGCUGGCCUCUCCCAGUUAUUCUGGGUACUGCAAUGAUAAAGGAAAGUAAGGUCACAUCAUCAAAUCUCUGCCAAGGGAAACACAUCUAAUGGCGAGACGGCAUGUCUGAAGCAAAUGGAUAAAAAUCUCAUUUCCAAGCUAUUGGAUCCAAAAUUAUGCAGAUUAAAAUCAAAUCC